AUGAACGCUGGCGGCGUGCCUAAUACAUGCAAGUCGAGCGAACGGACGAGAAGCUUGCUUCUCUGAUGUUAGCGGCGGACGGGUGAGUAACACGUGGAUAACCUACCUAUAAGACUGGGAUAACUUCGGGAAACCGGAGCUAAUACCGGAUAAUAUUUUGCACCGCAUGGUUCAAAAGUGAAAGACGGUCUUGCUGUCACUUAUAGAUGGAUCCGCGCUGCAUUAGCUAGUUGGUAAGGUAACGGCUUACCAAGGCAACGAUGCAUAGCCGACCUGAGAGGGUGAUCGGCCACACUGGAACUGAGACACGGUCCAGACUCCUACGGGAGGUAGCAGUAGGGAAUCUUCCGCAAUGGGCGAAAGCCUGACGGAGCAACGCCGCGUGAGUGAUGAAGGUCUUCGGAUCGUAAAACUCUGUUAUUAGGGAAGAACAUAUGUGUAAGUAACUGUGCACAUCUUGACGGUACCUAAUCAGAAAGCCACGGCUAACUACGUG
This 496-nucleotide ribosomal RNA is filed under the name uncultured bacterium. Its description in RNAcentral is "partial 16S ribosomal RNA". It matches the Rfam family "Bacterial small subunit ribosomal RNA", at positions 29 to 507 of the family's 1533-position model. The record is from RNAcentral.